AAAGUACUCCCUCCGUCCCAAAAUUCUUGUCUUAGAUUUGUCUAGGAAUGGAUGUGUCUAAAUACUAAAACAUGACUAGAAACAUUCAUAUUUAUACAAAUCUAAGGCAAGAAUUUUGGUACGGAGGGAGUAUCUA
This is a non-coding RNA of Hordeum vulgare subsp. vulgare (domesticated barley), 136 nucleotides long. The record is from Rfam. Lineage: Eukaryota; Viridiplantae; Streptophyta; Magnoliopsida; Poales; Poaceae.